Molecule: ribosomal RNA, 305 nt
Filed under: uncultured bacterium
Lineage: Bacteria
Description: bacterial SSU rRNA
Rfam family: Bacterial small subunit ribosomal RNA
Source: RNAcentral
ACCUACGGGAGGCAGCAGUAGGGAAUCUUCCACAAUGGGCGAAAGCCUGAUGGAGCAACGCCGCGUGGGUGAAGAAGGUCUUCGGAUCGUAAAACCCUGUUGUUAGAGAAGAAAGUGCGUGAGAGUAACUGUUCACGUUUCGACGGUAUCUAACCAGAAAGCCACGGCUAACUACGUGCCAGCAGCCGCGGUGAUACGUAGGUGGCAAGCGUUAUCCGGAUUUAUUGGGCGUAAAGGGAACGCAGGCGGUCUUUUAAGCCUGAUGUGAAAGCCUUCGGCUUAACCGGAGUAGUGCAUUGGAAACU